This 447-nucleotide ribosomal RNA is filed under the name uncultured bacterium. RNAcentral's name for it is "bacterial SSU rRNA". It matches the Rfam family "Bacterial small subunit ribosomal RNA", at positions 329 to 792 of the family's 1533-position model. The record is from RNAcentral.
GGCCAGACUCCUACGGGAGGCAGCAGUGGGGAAUAUUGCACAAUGGGGGAAACCCUGAUGCAGCGACGCCGCGUGAGUGAAGAAGUAUUUCGGUAUGUAAAGCUCUAUCAGCAGGAACGAGACAAGACGGUACCUGACUAAGAAGCCCCGACUAACUACGUGCCAGCAGCCGCGGUAAUACGUAGGGGGCAAGCGUUAUCCGGAAUCACUGGGUGUAAAGGGAGCGUAGACGACUGAGCAAGCCUGAAGUGAAAGGCGGGGGCCCAACCCCCGGACUGCUCUGGAAACUAUUUGACUGGAGUGCAGGAGAGGUAAGCGGAAUUCCUAGUGUAGCGGUGAAAUGCGUAGAUAUUAGGAGGAACACCAGUGGCGAAGGCGGCUUACUGGACUGUAACUGACGUUGAGGCUCGAAAGCGUGGGGAGCAAACAGGAUUAGAUACCCGUGUA